This 71-nucleotide transfer RNA is filed under the name Loxodonta africana (African savanna elephant). It matches the Rfam family "tRNA". From Rfam's summary of the family: Transfer RNA (tRNA) molecules are approximately 80 nucleotides in length. Their secondary structure includes four short double-helical elements and three loops (D, anti-codon, and T loops). Lineage: Eukaryota; Metazoa; Chordata; Mammalia; Proboscidea; Elephantidae. The record is from Rfam by way of RNAcentral.
ACUGUGGUGGUUCAGUGGUAGAAUUCUCACCUUCCAUGUGGGAGAUUCAGGUUCAAUUCCCAGCCAAUAUA